CUACGGGUCGCUCCAGUGGGGAAUCUUGCACAAUGGAGGAAACUCUGAUGCAGCGAUGCCGCGUGAGUGAAGAAGGCCCUUGGGUUGUAAAGCUCUUUUGUCGGGAAAGAUAAUGACUGUACCCGAAGAAUAAGGUCCGGCUAACUUUGUGCCAGCAGCCGCGGUAAUACGAAGGGACCUAGCGUAAUUCGGAAUUACUGGGCGUAAAGCGCGCGUAGGCGGUUAAGUAAGUUAAUUGUGAAAGCCCAAAGCUCAACUUUGGAAUUGCAAUUAAAACUACUUAGCUAGAGUUUAUCAGAGGAAAGCGGAAUACAUAGUGUAGAGGUGAAGUUCGUAGAUAUUAUGUAGAACACCAGUUGCGAAGGCGGCUUUCUGGGAUAACACUGACGCUGAGGUGCGAAAGUAUGGGUAGCGAAGAGGAUUAGAUACCCUAGUAGUC
RNAcentral lists this ribosomal RNA (439 nucleotides) under uncultured bacterium. Its description in RNAcentral is "partial 16S ribosomal RNA". It matches the Rfam family "Bacterial small subunit ribosomal RNA", at positions 339 to 795 of the family's 1533-position model. The record is from RNAcentral.